GCUGGGACUACAGGCGCCCGCCAUCACGCCCGGCUAAUUUUGUGUAUUUUUUAGUAGAGACGGGGUUUCACCGUGUUAGCCAGGAUGGUCUCGAUCUCCUGACCUCGUGAUCCGCCCGCCUCGGCCUCCCAAAGUGCUGGGAUUACAGUCUGGAGCCACCGCGCCCGGCCCUGAGAUGUCUCCAAGUGGUGGUGAGACAUCAUCAAAUCCUAAGAAACAAUAUACUUGAAGAUUUUUCACUCACUGCAUCAAAGGUAAGAAAAAUACUUCUCUCCACUCCCUAAAGAUAUGUUACUUUUUUGCCUCGUCAACCUGUUCUCUUACAGUCUGGAGAUCCGUCAUGAACGAUGCUGGCAGAAUGAGUUUUAUCACAUCCUGAUGUGGUAGUUCAGCUCUUCCACUUAGGCUGGUAGGGUUCUGAGAACAUUAUAUUUUUCUCAACAACUGGGGCCCUGGCCCAAAAGGAGACAAAAAAAUCCCUCGUUAGCAUCCCAUUAUAAUUAUUAUUAACAGUAAUUACAUGUAAGAGCAAAUGCCACUCUUGUUAUUUACUUGAAAAUUAAUUAUGUAAAAAAAUUGUUAGCAAAUAAUUUCCCCAUAUGGCUUUUUGUACUGGAUGUAUAAUAAAAUGUAGAUUGAAAGUGAACUAUUUCUUACAACAUAAAGAGUAGAUAAAAAUCUACUUUCACGAUCUGACUGGCAGUUUUGGAAUUUGAAAUCUCUGUCUUUGUCUCUCUGUCUUUUUCACACACAUGUGCACACACAAACACACAACUAGUUCAUUUGUUUUAUAAACAUUAUAAUUUGCUUCUAAAUUAUGAGCUACUGGAUGUUACUGGAAGACACAUUUCUACAAACAAAAUAUUCUGGGAGCAGAUAGAUUAUUAUAUUAUCAAUAAAUUAAAAGACAAAACAUAAUAAAUGGAGUAUUUUUUGCUAUACUUUUCUUUUGUAACCUUGGGUUUUGAAUCACUAUCUACAUCUCACUCUAGUUCAUACAAACUAUGAUGGAAUAAAUACAGCUGGAACAAUCUAUUGAAGCUCAUUGCACAAUUAUAUUUUCACACUGCUGAUUAACUUAUAUGUUUACAUCACUGUUUUAGUCUUCCUUUCUUUAAUCAAUAGUAUUUUAUCUCAUUAAUAAUUUAUAGACAUAAAGGAAAUAAGUCUAAGAAUAAAAAUAAUUUGCUUGCACACUAUAACCACUGAAGUAAGACAUGGAGGUGUGAUUGACAGCCCAUAAGAAGCAUUAUCAGAUAUCCACAAACUCCAGAAAUAUUUGAAUUUCAUGUUGCUCUUGUAGGUUCUCAAAACAUUCCAUUUUUAAAGAGGCAAUAUUUUGAUAUUGUAGUUAUUGAUUUAAAGUAGACAUUAAAAGAUAAA
Homo sapiens (human) is the source of this 1383-nucleotide long non-coding RNA. The record is from Ensembl. NCBI's taxonomy places the organism in Eukaryota, Metazoa, Chordata, Mammalia, Primates, Hominidae.